Transfer RNA from Albugo candida, 73 nucleotides. It matches the Rfam family "tRNA". From Rfam's summary of the family: Transfer RNA (tRNA) molecules are approximately 80 nucleotides in length. Their secondary structure includes four short double-helical elements and three loops (D, anti-codon, and T loops). Lineage: Eukaryota; Oomycota; Peronosporomycetes; Albuginales; Albuginaceae. The record is from Rfam.
GGUCGUAUAGCUCAGUUGGUAGAGCACAGUGCUAAUAACGCUGCGGUCCUGGGUUCGAGCCCCAGUAUGACCA